This 358-nucleotide unclassified non-coding RNA is filed under the name soil metagenome. RNAcentral's name for it is "partial contains 5.8S ribosomal RNA, internal transcribed spacer 2, and large subunit ribosomal RNA". The stretch from base 1 to 120 matches the Rfam family "5.8S ribosomal RNA", at positions 35 to 154 of the family's 154-position model. The record is from RNAcentral.
GAUGAAGAACGUAGCGAAAUGCGAUAAGUAAUGUGAAUUGCAGAAUUCAGUGAAUCAUCGAAUCUUUGAACGCACAUUGCGCCCGCCAGUAUUCUGGCGGGCAUGUCUGUCCGAGCGUCAUUUCAACCCUCGAACCCCUCCGGGGGGUCGGCGUUGGGGACCUCGGGAGCCCCUAAGACGGGAUCCCGGCCCCGAAAUACAGUGGCGGUCUCGCCGCAGCCUCUCCUGCGCAGUAGUUUGCACAACUCGCACCGGGAGCGCGGCGCGUCCACGUCCGUAAAACACCCAACUUCUGAAAUGUUGACCUCGGAUCAGGUAGGAAUACCCGCUGAACUUAAGCAUAUCAAUAAGCGGAGGA